This 351-nucleotide unclassified non-coding RNA is filed under the name soil metagenome. RNAcentral describes it as "partial contains 5.8S ribosomal RNA, internal transcribed spacer 2, and large subunit ribosomal RNA". The stretch from base 1 to 120 matches the Rfam family "5.8S ribosomal RNA", at positions 35 to 154 of the family's 154-position model. The record is from RNAcentral.
GAUGAAGAACGUAGCGAACUGCGAUAAGUAAUGUGAAUUGCAGAAUUCAGUGAAUCAUCGAGUCUUUGAACGCACAUUGCGCCCCCUGGCAUUCCGGGGGGCAUGCCUGUCCGAGCGUCAUUGCUGCCCUUCAAGCCCGGCUUGUGUGUUGGGUCGUCGUCCCCCCCGGGGGACGGGCCCGAAAGGCAGCGGCGGCACCGCGUCCGGUCCUCGAGCGUAUGGGGCUUUGUCAUCCCGCUCGAUUAGGGCCGGCCGGGCGCCAGCCGGCGUCUCCAACCUUCUAUUUUACCAGGUUGACCUCGGAUCAGGUAGGGAUACCCGCUGAACUUAAGCAUAUCAAUAAGCGGAGGA